UCGCGGCUUAUCACCGGCAGUCGCCUUAGAGUGCCCAACUAAAUGAUGGCAACUAAGGCCGAGGGUUGCGCUCGUUGCGGGACUUAACCCAACACCUCACGGCACGAGCUGACGACAGCCAUGCAGCACCUGAACCGGCAGUCCCCGAAGGGAAAGUCCUAUUUCUAGGACGGUCCACCGUUGUCUAGCCCAGGUAAGGUUCUUCGCGUUGCGUCGAAUUGAACCACAUGCUCCACCGCUUGUGCGGGCCCCCGUCAAUUCCUUUGAGUUUCAGCCUUGCGACUGUACUCCCCAGGCGGCAUAUUUAACGCGUUGGCUACGCCACAAAAGGGGUCGAUUCCUUUUACAGCAAAUACGCACCGUUUACGGCUAGGACUAC
RNAcentral lists this unclassified non-coding RNA (379 nucleotides) under uncultured bacterium. Its description in RNAcentral is "contains 16S-23S intergenic spacer region". The record is from RNAcentral.